CGGACCGUAGCUCAGCUGGAUAGAGCGACUGGCUACGAACCAGUAGGUCGGGGGUUCGAGUCCCUCCGGUCCGACCA
Molecule: transfer RNA, 77 nt
Filed under: Moorena bouillonii PNG
Lineage: Bacteria; Bacillati; Cyanobacteriota; Cyanophyceae; Coleofasciculales; Coleofasciculaceae
Also listed under: 6 other names
Description: Moorea bouillonii PNG tRNA-Arg
Rfam family: tRNA
About the family: Transfer RNA (tRNA) molecules are approximately 80 nucleotides in length. Their secondary structure includes four short double-helical elements and three loops (D, anti-codon, and T loops).
Source: RNAcentral